RNAcentral lists this ribosomal RNA (254 nucleotides) under uncultured bacterium. RNAcentral's name for it is "partial 16S ribosomal RNA". It matches the Rfam family "Bacterial small subunit ribosomal RNA", at positions 524 to 777 of the family's 1533-position model. The record is from RNAcentral.
UACGUAGGUGACAAGCGUUGUCCGGAUUUACUGGGCGUAAAGAGCGCGCAGGCGGUCGAUCAAGUCGAGUGUGAAAGCCCCCGGCUCAACUGGGGAGGGUCAUUCGAUACUGAUCGACUCGAAGGCAGGAGAGGGUAGUGGAAUUCCCGGUGUAGUGGUGAAAUGCGUAGAUAUCGGGAGGAACACCAGUGGCGAAGGCGGGUCUCUGGGCCGAUACUGACGCUGAGGAGCGAAAGCGUGGGGAGCGAACGAGG